This 89-nucleotide transfer RNA is filed under the name Thermoanaerobaculum aquaticum. It matches the Rfam family "tRNA". Rfam says of the family: Transfer RNA (tRNA) molecules are approximately 80 nucleotides in length. Their secondary structure includes four short double-helical elements and three loops (D, anti-codon, and T loops). Further hydrogen bonds mediate the characteristic L-shaped molecular structure. tRNAs have two regions of fundamental functional importance: the anti-codon, which is responsible for specific mRNA codon recognition, and the 3' end, to which the tRNAs corresponding amino acid is attached (by aminoacyl-tRNA synthetases). tRNAs cope with the degeneracy of the genetic code in two manners: having more than one tRNA (with a specific anti-codon) for a particular amino acid; and 'wobble' base-pairing, i.e. permitting non-standard base-pairing at the 3rd anti-codon position. Lineage: Bacteria; Pseudomonadati; Acidobacteriota; Thermoanaerobaculia; Thermoanaerobaculales; Thermoanaerobaculaceae. The record is from Rfam by way of RNAcentral.
GGAGAGGUGCCGGAGCGGUCGAACGGGACGGUCUCGAAAACCGUUGUCCCCCUGCCGGGGGACCGUGGGUUCGAAUCCCACCCUCUCCG